Molecule: signal recognition particle RNA, 265 nt
Filed under: Thermoactinomyces vulgaris
Lineage: Bacteria; Bacillati; Bacillota; Bacilli; Caryophanales; Thermoactinomycetaceae
Also listed under: 6 other names
Description: signal recognition particle sRNA large type
Rfam family: Bacterial large signal recognition particle RNA
About the family: The signal recognition particle (SRP) is a universally conserved ribonucleoprotein involved in the co-translational targeting of proteins to membranes.
Source: RNAcentral
CCGCGCUAGACGGGGAGGUAGCGGUGCCCUGUAACCCGUAAUCCGCUAUAACGGGGUUGACGCCUGUCCGAGGCGUGCUUUGUGCGAGGCUGGUCUGGAUCAUCCGUGUUGAUGACCGGGUCCUGCGCAACGAUCACUUCCGAACCGUGUCAGGUCCUGACGGAAGCAGCACUAAGGGAGACCGGUCGUGUGCCGCAGGGGUGCCUGGUCUGAGCUGAUGGUUCAGGGGCCGCUCGGGCAAGACACGUCGGAGACAGGUGCGCGG